Molecule: long non-coding RNA, 993 nt
Organism: Homo sapiens (human)
Lineage: Eukaryota; Metazoa; Chordata; Mammalia; Primates; Hominidae
Product: long intergenic non-protein coding RNA 2492
Source: Ensembl
AUGAUAAUGUUACUGGUUGGAUGUCAGGAGCAGGCCAUGUGGAUGAUUAAAAGAUGAAUAUCAUAUACAGCAUGGAUAUGUUGGACAAAAAGAUGAUUCACAUCCCAGACAGAAUGGAGCAGAGUUGUUAUGUAAAACCUCCCAGCGAAAGAAAUAGUCCAGAAAGCUUGAAGAGAAACUGAAAUUUGAAAAAUCUACCUAAAAAGGUGAUAAAGGAUUUUCAGUUUUGCAAAAAACGCAAUACAGAGUGUCUUUGGAAAGAAAGUUCUCAUAUGGAUUUAAAAUAUGAUUCAAUUUACAGAAGUCAGAGUUGUUCUUCCAGAUGGCAUGAAUCCAACAGUGAAGAAAUCAGAAUACGUUGCUUUUGUGAGGGGCAGCUGCUGAUUUUCUCUGAGCUCCGUUUCCAGCCUUCACAUGCUCUGCUAUUCAUCACAGGGUAAAUUCUGACUAUAGGAGGUACUGACAGAAGAUUAGGGAAGAACAGAGGGCUAAAUGUUUAUUGACUUCUUGAAAAAUGCUAUGUGUCUUGCCAGACUUAGCUUACAAGUUUGGUUAAAGAGAGACUGACAUGAGCAUAAAGGAAGGGACAUUGAAAGAGGCAGAGAUGAAGGAAGAAAUUGUAACUUACUCCUUUUAUCCCACCCAUCAAAGGAAAGACAAGUUGACAAGUAUUGAUUCUGCAACAAACUGAGAAGAAACCUGGCGAUUCACAACAGAGAGCUGAGAAAUCCUAAGUCUGGAUUCCAGCUAAAUGGGAGCAGACUAAAUAGAGCGGCAGUCGGCGAACUACAUGUAGCCCAUGAACAAAAUCCGGUCCAGCACGUGUGUUUUUUUUUACGGCCCACAAAUGAGUCUGUCUUUACAGAUGAAUGUUAAAACUGGGUUGACAAGAGAGAACACUCACUUUGAACCGCAACUAAACAAAAUAUUAUCACCUUUCCCCUCAAAAAAGGUUUUUGUUCUUCUCAUUAGUAAAUUUGUAUUAUGACAAAA